CUAGCGACAGGCCUAACACAUGCAAGUCGAGGGGCGAGCACAAGGAGCAAUCUGAGGUGGCGACCGGCGCACGGGUGAGUAACACGUAUGCAACCUGCCUGUAAGCGGGGAAUAACCCGUUGAAAGACGGACUAAUACCGCAUAAUACUAAAUUACUGCAUGGUAAUUUAUUUAAACAUUUAUGGCUUACAGAUGGGCAUGCGCAUGAUUAGCUAGUUGGAGAGGUAACGGCUCCCCAAGGCAACGAUCAUUAGGGGUUCUGAGAGGAAGGUCCCCACACUGGUACUGAGACACGGACCAGACUCCUACGGGAGGCAGCAGUGAGGAAUAUUGGUCAAUGGACGAGAGUCUGAACCAGCCAAGUCGCGUGCAGGAAGAAUGUCCUAAUGGAUUGUAAACUGCUUUUGCAGGGGAAUAAAGUGCAUCACGUGUGAUGUUUUGUAUGUACUCUGCGAAUAAGGAUCGGCUAACUCCGUGCCAGCCGCAGC
Molecule: ribosomal RNA, 488 nt
Filed under: uncultured bacterium
Lineage: Bacteria
Description: bacterial SSU rRNA
Rfam family: Bacterial small subunit ribosomal RNA
Source: RNAcentral